UGGGGGAUAUUGCACAAUGGGGGAAACCCUGAUGCAGCGACGCCGCGUGAGGGAAGACGGUUUUCGGAUUGUAAACCUCUGUCUUUGGGGACGAAAGAGGACGGUACCCAAGGAGGAAGCUCCGGCUAACUACGUGCC
This 138-nucleotide ribosomal RNA is filed under the name uncultured bacterium. Its description in RNAcentral is "partial 16S ribosomal RNA". It matches the Rfam family "Bacterial small subunit ribosomal RNA", at positions 355 to 509 of the family's 1533-position model. The record is from RNAcentral.